UUUAAUUUCCGAAGUUGUUAUGGAUAUAUACAGUCAUUGAUACUUGGAUAGCUAAGACAAUAUCUUAACACGAAAAAAGAGAGCUGAAUCUUGCGAAUAAUCCAACCCCGACUAGUUGGAUGGAUAAUCGUUAUUUGGCAUUUAAAAUAGAAACAUACGCGUGUUGAUUUGGUCGGAGCCAGACAACGGUUUAUAUUUACCGAACAAAAAGACAAAGAAGCUUAUCAUUUGAGAUGAAAUAGUAAGUAAAUCAUAUCUGUAACGAUGAAUCCAAAAGGAAAGUACCUGACAACACAUACACAAGGGUAACAAUUUGAAUAUGGAGACGCGCGGUAUAGCUCACAAAUUCAACAAGGUGAGAAGAGUGAAGAGAAAGAAAAGCAAGGGAAGAAAAGGAGAGGUAGAAUAUUGAGCGAGGCUAGUGGGUUGCAAGGGCUGAACCACCGGUCGAAUUCCUGGUGUGGCUGUGGGGCCCAUCGGUCCAUCCAAGGGAGCAUCCGGUGCCAGCCCAGGAGCUGUCGCCGCCGCCUUAGAUGCUAAUCACAGUUGUCCAAAAUCAAACUUAAACUCUUAACCUUGACUCAAAAUGCAUAAAAAAAACGUGAUCGUGGUUAAUUAAUUACUCACAUCCGGGGCUAAAAGCAGACAUAGGCGGUGGUGGGGCCAGCAAAAAUGGCACUGGACCUGCCCAAUACAUUAGUUAAAUGAAUAAUGGCUGAAAUCAACUGAAUCAUAAAUGUACAAUUCAAUAGUAAUGAGCGUUUUUCAUAAUAAUUAAACAAAACCUGGCGCUGGCAGAGGUGUUCCCGCCGCUGCAAAUUAAGCAAAAUGAGCCAUUAAUCAUUUCUCAUAUACCCAUAAUCCAUAUUCCCUUAUAAUUUCAUAUACCCUUUAUUCUCAAAUAUUCCUAAUUUCAAAUACUCUUUAAUUUCAAAUACCUUAAUCUCAUAUAGUGUGUUCGUUUGUGUUAAGAAAGCCCAAGUAAUAAACCUAAAUAUAAUAUAACUUGUAUAAGCAAGUCCAAUAAUAAACCUAGAUAUUUCAAAAUUGGACCGAUCCUAUUAACUUCAGAACCUAGAUAAUGUUAACUAUUAUAAGCAAGCUCAAAUAAUAAACCUAAAUAUUUUUAAAAUUUACGUACAUGGGCUAGUGCCAAAUCCAUCGACAUGAAAUUAUUAACUUGUAAAGGCAUCGUUAGCUCAAACUAGAGGGCCCAGCCCAUUGUCAAAUCCGAAAUUUGAGUUUCCAAAAAGACCCGAAAAUAUUAAAAUUGACGCAAAUUUUUUGAAAAGGCCGAAAUAUUUUGAAUGACAACUAAGAAAAUAGUAUUCAGGUAACCUGAUAAAUAGGUGGAGCCCAAUGGCUCUUGAUACGCAGGCCCAAGCUGAAUAACGCCAGAUUCCUUCCCUUGCUUCACCAACAAUUUUGAAUCAUCUGCAACACAUAUCUCACAUAAGAAACAAAAAUCCAAAAAAUCUUACCAGUAAUUCGUAAAACAAAAAACGACAAACAUCGCGGUGAUUAAAGUAUUGGGGAAAGAGAGAAACGAGGUCCGGAUACUUACCGUCAACGACAGCAUUAACAUAACUCUCGAUCCCGAUCGCCUCUGCACCGUCACCACCGUCUCCGUAAGUCCCGCUUCUAUUGGGAUCGAAUGUAGCUACGAUCUGUUUCCGAACAAGGUCUGAGUUACACGAAAACAGUAAACAAAAUAAAAGAUUUAAAGUUUCAAAUUGGAAUCAAGACACGAAAACCCUAAAACAAGAAGACGAGAAAGAAGAAUAUAUUCAUGAAGAUUGGAGACUGUUCCUCGAAUCAUACCUCUGACUUUUCCUUGCUUUCAUCAUGGCGGGCUUGAGAUGAGACGAGAGAUAUGGAACCACCAGGUCCGCGACUCCACGACCUUUCCUUGCUUUCAUGGCGGGCAGCCUUAAUCACGUUGAAGCGAGAUUAACGUCAAUCGUCUGAACUUGAUAUCCUCAACACAUCGAUCGGACCCGACUCGUCAAUGGCCUUCGCUUCGAUAUUGGUGAUCGAUCAACUUCGCUAUUUUGUGACUCUCUCCUCUUUUCUUGUUCUCGCUAUUUUCUCUCUCUGCGGUUUCUCAAAGAUCAGAAAAUAAGAGUGAUUCAAAUUUUGAAAGAGAAGGAAGAGAAGUUAUAAAGAAGAUCUGCGAGAAUCUUUUAACUGAAACAGAAUUAGCCGUUGCUUUGGAUAACGUUUCAGGUUGAUCAUUCUAUAUAAAACGGCAUCGUUUAUUACUUAUUUAAAUCAACAAAGCAAUAAGACACAAAACAACACCGUCAUGCGGCGCCAAAGGUAAUAGAAAGCGUUGACCUUUUAUUGAUCAGUUUCAGUCAGUAUACAAACAAUUAAACAAGGGUAUUAAAAGUUACAAACAAAGUUGAUUAUAUACAUAUAUGACUAGUUAGUUGAUCAAAAAAUAAUAUAUAUAAAUAUAACUAGUUCAAGUUCGUGAUGCUUCUUGUUCUUCUGUAUGUUGUUUUUGUUUCUCAGCUUUCUCUGCUUCUAACUUCCUCAGGGUACUCAAAACUUAUCUUAUUUUCCACUUAAUCCAUCAGACACUAUUUAGACAACCUCUAUCUGCAACAAAAGCACGUCCAAUGAUAAGGGUUCGACGAUUGGAUCUCUUAAAAUGCAUCCCAAGGUUAAGGCUGAUGAAAAAGGACUAACCUUGAGUUGAGAAAGACCUCUUUCUGCUCUCUUUGCUGCAUAUUAUGCUUAGCUAGAGAGAAAAGAAAAUUAAUACAAAUAAUGUGGCAACCUGCCAACGUUGUAUAUUAUAUCGCAGUUACCUUGGGAAGCAAGGGCGUGGUUGGUUGACAGAGAGAAAAAACGCCGAGGUGAUAUGGCUCUAAUCUUCUUCUUUUUUUAAGAAUGGAUAGUAGUGGAAGUAAAGGGUUGUCGAGAGGAAAAGAAUAAGUGAAUUGUACAUAUGUUGUUUCUUCCUCAUGCAAAUUAAGCAGAGAGUGAAAAGAUGGUAAAAAGGAGAGAGACAGUUGUAGAGACUGAAUAAAGUUUAGCACCUUGGAGUCUAUAAUGUAUAUUCAUUAUCUCACAAUAAUAUUCAAAUUAAAUAGUUGUUACACUGACGCCUGUUUUAUGUCUUUCUGGUGCUACGUAUGAGUGGAAUUGAUAGGGCUUUUCUUUUACGUGAACAAUAAUAAUGUGUAUAGAGGCUUCGAUUAUUUCUAAUAAAAGAGAUGGGUACUUCUGUUUCGGUUCCCGAGAGAUCCGUCCAUGAAUUCACCGUCAAGGUAAAAAAACUACUGUGUUUCGCUUGAAUCGUAUCUAUGGUUUUUAUUUAAUUAUUGUUUCAUGGGGAAUCACAGGAUAGCUCCGGCAAGGACGUGAAUUUGAGCAUAUACCAAGGGAAAGUCCUCCUCCUUGUCAAUGUCGCUUCCAAAUGGUUUGUCUCGUUUUUUUCCCUUACAACGUUUUCUUUCUUUAAUUCAUUACUGAUUGAUUGUUUAUCAUUUGGAUUGUGUGCAAACAGCGGGUUCACCGAAUCCAAUUAUACCCAGCUCACCGAACUUUACCGGAAAUACAAGGACCAAUGUCUUUUUUAUUAACUUAGUUUUGUUAGCAGUUGCAAUCAUAUUCAUGCAUUUAUAUUUUUGUAUAUAAUAUUAUUUCCAUUGAUUAUGUAUUUCAGGGUUUGAGAUCUUGGCAUUCCCUUGUAACCAGUUUCUUUACCAGGAGCCCGGCACGAGUCAAGAAGCUCAUGAUUUUGCUUGUACACGGUUUCAGGCCGAAUACCCUGUUUUCCAAAAGGUAGGUCUUCUCUUUCUGUCUUGUUUCUAGUGGCUACAUGACGCUUGGAAUUUAUACCUAAUUACAUAGCUCCUCAACUUAUAUCCAUCUCAUUAUGUUAGGUAGGUAGCUAUAUAUGACUUGUUUGUGGUAUUUUUGGAACAAGUGUAACCAGAAAUCCAUAUGUGCUUCAACAGUUACCAUCUGCACCUGAUUUUUUUUUAUUGUUAGUAAUAUAUAUAUAUAUGACCAAGUGUGUGUUAUUAUGAGAUUAGGUACGGGUAAACGGCCAAAACGCGGCACCACUCUACAAGUUCCUUAAGGCAAGUAAACCCACUUUUUUGGGGUCAAGAAUUAAGUGGAACUUCACCAAAUUCUUGGUCAGCAAAGAUGGCAUAGUGAUUGAUCGUUAUGGCACGAUGGUUACACCUCUGUCCAUCGAGGUAUGCAUUCUUUACGUAUCAAAAUAAAUUGUCUUAUGCUAUAAAUUGUAAUUGUCGUGACUUGUGCCCCGGUUUCAUGUGUUUGUGUGUAACAAACAGAAAGACAUCAAGAAAGCUCUGGAAAAGGCUUGAAACAGCAGACGGGAUUGCCUUUUAUAUCAAGGCACCAAAUAAAAAUAUCAGUUCAUUUUGUAACUAAUGAAAAUCCUAGCUUUUAUGUUGUUAAUCCAAUUUUCCUUUCUUAUACAGACAAGUUUUUCAGUUUGGUGUAUAUAGAAAAAGAAUCUCUCCCAGUAGGUGGUUGUUUUCAUUUUUUUUUUUGAAAAGUAUUCUUUAAUUUCCGAAGUUGUUAUGGAUAUAUACAGUCAUUGAUACUUGGAUAGCUAAGACAAUAUCUUAACACGAAAAAAGAGAGCUGAAUCUUGCGAAUAAUCCAACCCCGACUAGUUGGAUGGAUAAUCGUUAUUUGGCAUUUAAAAUAGAAACAUACGCGUGUUGAUUUGGUCGGAGCCAGACAACGGUUUAUAUUUACCGAACAAAAAGACAAAGAAGCUUAUCAUUUGAGAUGAAAUAGUAAGUAAAUCAUAUCUGUAACGAUGAAUCCAAAAGGAAAGUACCUGACAACACAUACACAAGGGUAACAAUUUGAAUAUGGAGACGCGCGGUAUAGCUCACAAAUUCAACAAGGUGAGAAGAGUGAAGAGAAAGAAAAGCAAGGGAAGAAAAGGAGAGGUAGAAUAUUGAGCGAGGCUAGUGGGUUGCAAGGGCUGAACCACCGGUCGAAUUCCUGGUGUGGCUGUGGGGCCCAUCGG
RNAcentral lists this long non-coding RNA (5029 nucleotides) under Brassica napus (rape). RNAcentral's name for it is "long non-coding RNA (BNAP_LNC000849)". The record is from RNAcentral. Lineage: Eukaryota; Viridiplantae; Streptophyta; Magnoliopsida; Brassicales; Brassicaceae.